AUUGAACGCUGGCGGCAGGCCUAACACAUGCAAGUCGAGCGAGCGGCGGACGGGUGAGUAAUGUCUGGGAAACUGCCUGAUGGAGGGGGAUAACUACUGGAAACGGUAGCUAAUACCGCAUACCAUCAGAUGUGCCCAGAUGGGAUUUGCAAGUAGGUGGGGUAACGGCUCACCUAGGCGACGAUCCCUUGCUGGUCUGAGAGGUUGACCAGCAAAACUGGAACUAAGACACGGUCCAGACUCCGACGGGAGGCAGCAGUGGGGAAUAUUGGACAAUGGGCGCAAGCCGGAUGCAGCCAUGCCGCGUGUGUGAAGAAGGCCUUCGGGUUGUAAAGCACUUUCAGCGGGGAGGCGUUACCCGCAGAAGAAGCACCGGCUAACUCCGUGCCAGCAGCCGCGGUAAUUC
RNAcentral lists this ribosomal RNA (406 nucleotides) under uncultured bacterium. Its description in RNAcentral is "partial 16S ribosomal RNA". It matches the Rfam family "Bacterial small subunit ribosomal RNA", at positions 30 to 526 of the family's 1533-position model. The record is from RNAcentral.